RNAcentral lists this ribosomal RNA (253 nucleotides) under uncultured bacterium. RNAcentral describes it as "partial 16S ribosomal RNA". It matches the Rfam family "Bacterial small subunit ribosomal RNA", at positions 524 to 776 of the family's 1533-position model. The record is from RNAcentral.
UACGUAGGGUGCGAGCGUUAAUCGGAAUUACUGGGCGUAAAGCGUGCGCAGGCGGUUGUGUAAGACAGAUGUGAAAUCCCCGGGCUUAACCUGGGAACUGCGUUUGUGACUGCACGGCUAGAGUACGGCAGAGGGGGGUGGAAUUCCUGGUGUAGCAGUGAAAUGCGUAGAGAUCAGGAGGAACAUCGAUGGCGAAGGCAGCCCCCUGGGCCUGUACUGACGCUCAUGCACGAAAGCGUGGGGAGCAAACAGG